GUGGAUUAGAUACCCUGGUAGUCCACGCCCUAAACGAUGUCAACUGGUUGUCGGGGAAGUAAUUCCUUGGUAACGAAGCUAACGCGUGAAGUUGACCGCCUGGGGAGUACGGCCGCAAGGCUUAAACUCAAAGGAAUUGACGGGGACCCGCACAAGCGGUGGAUUAUGUGGAUUAAUUCGAUGCAACGCGAAAAACCUUACCUACCCUUGACAUGUGCGGAACGGGGUAGAGAUACCUCGGUGCCCGAAAGGGAACCGCAACACAGGUGCUGCACGGUCGUCGUCAGCU
This 289-nucleotide ribosomal RNA is filed under the name uncultured bacterium. RNAcentral's name for it is "partial 16S ribosomal RNA". It matches the Rfam family "Bacterial small subunit ribosomal RNA", at positions 773 to 1060 of the family's 1533-position model. The record is from RNAcentral.